This 498-nucleotide ribosomal RNA is filed under the name uncultured bacterium. RNAcentral describes it as "partial 16S ribosomal RNA". It matches the Rfam family "Bacterial small subunit ribosomal RNA", at positions 28 to 507 of the family's 1533-position model. The record is from RNAcentral.
GACGAACGCUGGCGGCGUGCCUAAUACAUGCAAGUCGAACGAGAGCGACCGGUGCUUGCACUGGUCAAUCUAGUGGCGAACGGGUGAGUAACACGUGGGUAACCUGCCCAUCAGAGGGGGAUAACAUCCGGAAACGGAUGCUAAAACCGCAUAGGUCUUCGAACCGCAUGGUUUGAAGAGGAAAAGAGGCGCAAGCUUCUGCUGAUGGAUGGACCCGCGGUGCAUUAGCUAGUUGGUGAGGUAACGGCUCACCAAGGCCGUGAUGCAUAGCCGACCUGAGAGGGUGAUCGGCCACAUUGGGACUGAGACACGGCCCAAACUCCUACGGGAGGCAGCAGUAGGGAAUCUUCCGCAAUGGACGCAAGUCUGACGGAGCAACGCCGCGUGAGUGAAGAAGGUUUUCGGAUCGUAAAACUCUGUUGUUAGAGAAGAACAAGUGCUAGAGUAACUGUUAGCGCCUUGACGGUAUCUAACCAGAAAGCCACGGCUGACUACGUG